Molecule: ribosomal RNA, 426 nt
Filed under: uncultured Gammaproteobacteria bacterium
Lineage: Bacteria; Pseudomonadati; Pseudomonadota; Gammaproteobacteria
Description: bacterial SSU rRNA
Rfam family: Bacterial small subunit ribosomal RNA
Source: RNAcentral
GAGGAAUAUUGGACAAUGGGCGAAAGCCUGAUCCAGCCAUGCCGCGUGUGUGAAGAAGGUCUUCGGAUUGUAAAGCACUUUAAGUUGGGAUGAAGGGCAGUUACCUAAUACGUGAUUGUUUUGACGUUACCGACAGAAUAAGCACCGGCUAACUCUGUGCCAGCAGCCGCGGUAAUACAGAGGGUGCAAGCGUUAAUCGGAAUUACUGGGCGUAAAGCGCGCGUAGGUGGUUAGUUAAGUUGGAUGUGAAAUCCCCGGGCUCAACCUGGGAACUGCAUUCAAAACUGACUGACUAGAGUAUGGUAGAGGGGGGUAGAAUUCCAGGUGUAGCGGUGAAAUGCGUAGAGAUCUGGAGGAAUACCGGUGGCGAAGGCGGCCCCCUGGACGAAGACUGACGCUCAGGCACGAAAGCGUGGGGAGCAAACA